This 490-nucleotide ribosomal RNA is filed under the name uncultured bacterium. Its description in RNAcentral is "partial 16S ribosomal RNA". It matches the Rfam family "Bacterial small subunit ribosomal RNA", at positions 30 to 507 of the family's 1533-position model. The record is from RNAcentral.
AUUGAACGCUGGCGGCAGGUCUAACACAUGCAAGUCGAACGGUAACAGGAAGAAGCUUGCUUCUUUGCUGACGAGUGGCGGACGGGUGAGUAAUGUCUGGGAAACUGCCUGAUGGAGGGGGAUAACUACUGGAAACGGUAGCUAAUACCGCAUAACGUCGCAAGACCAAAGAGGGGGAACUUCGGGCCUCUUGCCAUCGGAUGUGACCAGAUGGGAUUAGCUAGUAGGUGGGGUAACGGCUCACCUAGGCGACGAUCCCUAGCUGGUCUGAGAGGAUGACCAGCCACACUGGAACUGAGACACGGUCCAGACUCCUACGGGAGGCAGCAGUGAGGAAUCUUGCACAAUGGGCGCAAGCCUGAUGCAGCCAUGCCGCGUGUAUGAAGAAGGCCUUCGGGUUGUAAAGUACUUUCAGCGGGGAGGAAGGGAGUAAAGUUAAUCCCUUUACUCAUUGACGUUACCCGCAGAAGAAGCACCGGCUAACUCCGUG